AUUGAACGCUGGCGGCAGGCCUAACACAUGCAAGUCGAGCGGAUGAAGGGAGCUUGCUCCUGGAUUCAGCGGCGGACGGGUGAGUAAUGCCUAGGAAUCUGCCUGGUAGUGGGGGAUAACGUCCGGAAACGGGCGCUAAUACCGCAUACGUCCUGAGAGAGAAAGUGGGGGAUCUUCGGACCUCACGCUAUCAGAUGAGCCUAGGUCGGAUUAGCUAGUUGGUGGGGUAAAGGCCUACCAAGGCGACGAUCGGUAACUGGUCUGAGAGGAUGAUCAGUCACACUGGAAAUAAGGAAGGGUCGAGACGCCUAGGGGAAGGAAAAGGGGGUAAGAUGGGAAUAUGGACGAAAGCCAAGAACAAACAAGCCGAGAGUGUGAAAGAGGUCUUCGGAUUGUAAAACACUUUAAGUUGGGAGGAAAGGCAGAAAGUUAAUACCUAGAUUUUUUAGAGUUAAAAACAGAAGAAGCACCGGCUAACUAGGU
This 483-nucleotide ribosomal RNA is filed under the name uncultured bacterium. Its description in RNAcentral is "partial 16S ribosomal RNA". It matches the Rfam family "Bacterial small subunit ribosomal RNA", at positions 29 to 506 of the family's 1533-position model. The record is from RNAcentral.